This 468-nucleotide ribosomal RNA is filed under the name uncultured bacterium. RNAcentral describes it as "partial 16S ribosomal RNA". It matches the Rfam family "Bacterial small subunit ribosomal RNA", at positions 28 to 507 of the family's 1533-position model. The record is from RNAcentral.
GACGAACGCUGGCGGCGUGCUUAACACAUGCAAGUCGAACGGAAAGGCCCUGCUUUUGUGGGGUGCUCGAGUGGCGAACGGGUGAGUAACACGUGAGUAACCUGCCCUUGACUUUGGGAUAACUUCAGGAAACUGGGGCUAAUACCGGAUAGGAGCUCCUGCUGCAUGGUGGGGGUUGGAAAGUUUCGGCGGUUGGGGAUGGACUCGCGGCUUAUCAGCUUGUUGGUGGGGUAGUGGCAUACCAAGGCUUUGACGGGUAGCCGGCCUGAGAGGGUGACCGGCCACAUUGGGACUGAGAUACGGCCCAGACUCCUACGGGAGGCAGCAGUGGGGAAUAUUGCACUAUGGGCGGAAGCCUGAUGCAGCAACGCCGCGUGCGGGAUGACGGCCUUCGGGUUGUAAACCGCUUUCGCCUGUGACGAAGCGUGAGUGACGGUAAUGGGUAAAGAAGCACCGGCUAACUACGUG